Molecule: ribosomal RNA, 1838 nt
Filed under: Nanophyes marmoratus
Lineage: Eukaryota; Metazoa; Arthropoda; Insecta; Coleoptera; Brentidae
Description: partial 16S ribosomal RNA
Rfam family: Archaeal large subunit ribosomal RNA (bases 1463-1622)
Source: RNAcentral
UUUAGAGGAAUUUGUCCUGUAAUUGAUAAUCCACGAUUUUAAUUACUUAAUCUAUAAGUUUACAUAUCGCCGUAAUAGAAUAUUUUAUUAGAAUAUUAAUAUUCAAGAUUUUUUAUUAAAUUAUAAAUCAGGUCAAGGUGUAGUUUAUGGUUAAGAAGAGAUGAAUUACAAUAAAUUUAUUUAAAUGAAUUAUUAUAUGAAAUUAUAAUGUGAAGGUGGAUUUAAAUGUAAUUAUAAAUAUUUAUUUAUAAUGAUUUUAGCUCUAAAGUAUGUACAUAUCGCCCGUCGCUUUCACUAUAAAGUGGAAUAAGUCGUAACAAAGUAGGUGUACUGGAAAGUGUACCUAGAAAGGCAAGUUAGAGCUUGAUAUAAGCAUUUUAUUUACAUUAAAAAGUUUAUUGUGAAAUUCAAUAUGACUUGAAAAUUAAAAAUUAUUAAGAUUUUUUAUUUUUUUAGAUAAAUUUCAUAAUUAAAUUUAGGUUUUAAUAUAUAGAUUAAAAUAAAUUUUUAUAAUUAUAGUUUAUUAGUAUUGUGAAUGAAAUUUUUUAUUUGAUUUAAAGAAGAAUUAAUUUUUCGUACCUUGUGUAUCAGGGUUUAUUAAAUAAGAUUUUUAGUUAAAAAGUUCUCGAAUUUAAAAGAGCUAAUUUUAUAUAUUUUUUAUUGUAAAAUAAAUAUUAAUAAUAUAAAGUUAGUAAUGAAAUGUUAAUCGAUUUUAAUUAUAUCUAGUUUUUUAAGAAAAAAGUUUAAUUUUUUUAUUUGUUUAAUAAUAUUUUAAAUUAUUAAUUUAUUAUUUACGAGUAGGUUAUAUUUUAAGGGAUGAGCUUUAAAUUAAAUAAUUAUAAAUUAAUAUAUUUGGUUUAAUAAUAAGUAGGAUUGAAAAUGUCAAUUUUUAUAAAAAUGUUAUAAUUAAUUUUUUAUUAAUUAAGAUUUGUAUUAGUUUUAAGUUUUUUAUUAAAAUAUUUAAUUUAAUAAUGUAUUUAAAUUAACAAUGAUAAAAUUAGUAUAUAGUUAUAAAUGUUUAUUUUAUUUAAAUUAUAAGGUUAUUUAAAGGAACUCGGCAAAUUUAUUUCCACCAAAAACAUGUCUUUUUGAUAAUAAUUUAAAGUCUAACCUGCCCAAUGAAAAAUUUAAUGGCCGCGGUAUUUUAACCGUGCAAAGGUAGCAUAAUCAUUAGUUUUUUAAUUGAAAGCUUGUAUGAAUGGUUGAAUGAGAAAAAUACUGUCUCUAAAUAAUUUUUAGAAUUUUAUUUUUAAGUUAAAAAGCUUAAAUAAAAUUAAAAGACGAGAAGACCCUAUAGAGUUUUAUAAAAAUUUUUAUUAUUAUUAUUUAGAAUUAAUUAUUUAAUAAAAAUUUUUAUUUAAUUGGGGUGAUUAAAAAAUAUAUUAAACUUUUUUUUAAAAAAUACAUUAAUUUAUGAAUAAUUGAUCCUUAAUUUAAGAUUAAAAGAAAAAAUUACCUUAGGGAUAACAGCGUAAUUUUUUUUGAGAGUUCAAAUCGAAAAAAAAGGUUGCGACCUCGAUGUUGGAUUAAAAUUAAUUUUUGGUGUAGAAGCUAAAAGUGGGGGGUCUGUUCGACCCUUAAAAUUUUACUUGAUCUGAGUUCAAACCGGUGUGAGCCAGGUUGGUUUCUAUCUUUAAUAAAUAUAAUAUUUUAGUACGAAAGGACCAAAUAUUAAAUUUAAAAUUUUUAAAUAGAUAAAUAUUAAAUUAUUAUUUUGGCAGAUUAGUGCGAUAGGUUUAGAACUUAUAUAUGUAAUAUUUACAAAUAAUACUUGUUAAAAGAUACUUUUUUAAUAUUAAUUUCUAGAUUGUUAUUAGUAAUUUGUGUUAUAGUAGGAG